Molecule: ribosomal RNA, 497 nt
Filed under: uncultured bacterium
Lineage: Bacteria
Description: partial 16S ribosomal RNA
Rfam family: Bacterial small subunit ribosomal RNA
Source: RNAcentral
GAUGAACGCUGGCGGCGUGCCUAAUACAUGCAAGUCGAGCGAACGGACGAGAAGCGUGCGUCUCUGAUGGUAGCGGCGGACGGGUGAGUAAGAAGUGGAUAACCUACCUAUAAGACGGGGAGAACAUCGGGAAACCGGAGCGAAUACCGGAUAAUACUAUGAACGGCAUGGAUCAAAAGUAAAAGACGGUCUUGCUGACACAUAUAGAUGGAUCCGCGCUGCAUUAGCUAGUUGGUAAGGUAACGGCUUACCAAGGCAACGAUGCAUAGCCGACCUGAGAGGAUGAUCUGCCACACUGGAACUGAGACACGGUCCAGACUCCUACGGGAGGCAGCAGUGGGGAAUCUUCCGCAAUGGGCGAAAGCCUGACGGAGCCACGCCGCGUGAGUGAUGAAGGUCUUCGGCUCGUAAAACUCUGUUAUUAGGGAAGAACAUAUGUGUAAGUAACUGUGCACAUCUUGACGGUACCUAAUCAGAAAGCCACGGCUAACUUCGUG